AAUGAACGCUGGCGGCAUGCCUAACACAUGCAAGUCGAACGAGACCUUCGGGUCUAGUGGCGCACGGGUGCGUAACGCGUGGGAAUCUGCCCUUGGGUUCGGAAUAACUCGCCGAAAGGCGUGCUAAUACCGGAGGAUGACGUAAGUCCAAAGAUUUAUCGCCCAAGGAUGAGCCCGCGUAGGAUUAGCUAGUUGGUGGGGUAAAGGCCCACCAAGGCGACGAUCCUUAGCUGGUCUGAGAGGAUGAUCAGCCACACUGGGACUGAGACACGGCCCAGACUCCUACGGGAGGCAGCAGUGGGGAAUAUUGGACAAUGGGCGAAAGCCUGAUCCAGCAAUGCCGCGUGAGUGAUGAAGGCCUUAGGGUUGUAAAGCUCUUUUACCCGGGAUGAUAAUGACAGUACCGGGAGAAUAAGCCCCGGCUAACUCCGUGCCAGCCGCCGCAGUAA
Molecule: ribosomal RNA, 449 nt
Filed under: uncultured bacterium
Lineage: Bacteria
Description: partial 16S ribosomal RNA
Rfam family: Bacterial small subunit ribosomal RNA
Source: RNAcentral